This 245-nucleotide long non-coding RNA is filed under the name Hordeum vulgare. Its description in RNAcentral is "long non-coding RNA (HVUL_LNC020106)". The record is from RNAcentral. Lineage: Eukaryota; Viridiplantae; Streptophyta; Magnoliopsida; Poales; Poaceae.
UUUUCAUCAUUCUUGCCUCAACGUUUUCUUUUACAGUUUUUAGCAAACAGUAAUAGCAACCCCUGUUUCGAAAAUGGAACUACCAGGCUUUGCAGAAAAAGGAAAUACCAACUCCCAGUAGUCAUCAAGUGUCCAUCCAACUGGAAAUGAUUGAACGAUACAAAGAGUCACAAAUGUUUAUGGUGAAAAACACACCCCGCCAGAUGUCACUAAGAGUUGUGAACUUAAGCCUCUUUGAUUCGCAG